RNAcentral lists this small nuclear RNA (132 nucleotides) under Microcebus murinus (gray mouse lemur). RNAcentral describes it as "U4 spliceosomal RNA (ENSMICG00000042201.1)". It matches the Rfam family "U4 spliceosomal RNA", at positions 15 to 138 of the family's 138-position model. From Rfam's summary of the family: U4 small nuclear RNA (U4 snRNA) is a component of the major U2-dependent spliceosome. The structure of U4 snRNA from yeast and human has been reported. The record is from Rfam by way of RNAcentral. Lineage: Eukaryota; Metazoa; Chordata; Mammalia; Primates; Cheirogaleidae.
GGCUCUGCACAGUGGCGGUCAAUGAGGUUUAUCUGAGAUGCAAUUAUUGCUCAUUGAAGCUGUUCCCAAUACCCUGCCAUGACAACCUGCAAUAUAUUCUGCAGUGUCAAUUUUUGACAGUCUCUAACAAGA